GUUUUUGCAACUCUAAAUAUAAUCUGGCCACUGCCUGAAAAGUUUGCAUAGUUAACUGUGCCUUACACUUUUCCUUAACGUGUAUCCACAAGAUUGGAAGUUUAUACUAGUCUGGCUAGUAAGUCUUAUUGCUUAUAUGAUUGUUUGGACUAGUAACCAUCACCCAACUUUUUGUUUUCUACAAAAAUCUUUUAUCACUUCAGUUUAUUUACAACUGCUUUUGUGGCCCAUGCUACAGGUUUCAUAUUGUAUUCUCCUGUUUUUCAGAAUUGUUUUGGUACUGUUACAGUAUAUACAUGUAAAACUUUUCAUAGUUUAAAUAUGGAAUAUUAA
Pelobates cultripes (western spadefoot toad) is the source of this 333-nucleotide non-coding RNA. NCBI's taxonomy places the organism in Eukaryota, Metazoa, Chordata, Amphibia, Anura, Pelobatidae. The record is from the annotation of a GenBank genome assembly.